CCUACGGGAGGCAGCAGUGGGGAAUAUUGGGCAAUGGGCGCAAGCCUGACCCAGCAACGCCGCGUGAAUGAAGAAGGCUUUCGGGUUGUAAACUUCUUUUCUGAGGGACGAAGAAAGUGACGGUACCUCAGGAAUAAGCCACGGCUAACUACGGGCCAGCAGCCGCGGUAAUACGUUGGUGGCAAGCGUUAUCCGGAUUUAUUGGGUGUAAAGGGCGUGUAGGCGGGAAAGCAAGUCAGAUGUGAAAACUCAGGGCUCAACCCUGAGCCGGCAUUUGAAACUGUUUUUCUUGAGUGCUGGAGAGGCGAUCGGAAUUCCGUGUGUAGCGGUGAAAUGCGUAGAUAUACGGAGGAACACCAGUGGCGAAGGCGGAUUGCUGGACAGUAACUGACGCUGAGGCGCGAAAGCGUGGGGAGCAAACAGGAUUAGAUACCCUUGUAGUC
RNAcentral lists this ribosomal RNA (443 nucleotides) under uncultured bacterium. RNAcentral's name for it is "partial 16S ribosomal RNA". It matches the Rfam family "Bacterial small subunit ribosomal RNA", at positions 338 to 795 of the family's 1533-position model. The record is from RNAcentral.